UUUACUCUUUUCUCCUUUCUUCUCUACCAAACCCCACGAAAGAAAGGUUUUCUCUCAACAUUUCUUCCCUUUCUUCCUUUCUCAAUCUCAUCACUUUCUUCCCUCUCUUCUCUGAUCAGUCGCCAUCCCCACCAUCACAGCCAUCUCUCAUACCCAGCUCGUGCUCGUUCGUCGUCAUAUUUCUUGUAUCAUUUAAAAAAUCUUCAUUCUUUCACUUUGCAUCUAACCAUUAGGAUGUGGUGCAAAAUUUCCUGUUCAAUGGCAUCGACGAGCUCGGAAGCAAAAGGUUUCUGAAUUACUUUCCAGAGUUUCGCUAGAAGAUGGUACAAUCAACACGAUGAGAUCUAAACGUGUAUAUAGGCUGUCAUGGUUACUAAAUUGAUCGUGUAACUUAGGGUGGAUGACUAGGUAACCGAUGAAGACGACGAUGCCUCCGAUUAUGACGGUGAUUGAAACUACAAUACAGAGUCAGGCAGCGAGCCAAACAAGAGGAUGAGUGUGGCGCUUUGCGUCGGAUAUUAGUUUAGGUGACAUUGGGCGGGGGCGGUCCACAUCCGACAGUGGAGAUUGUUAUCUUGUUUUUUGGUGUCCCCUUUGAAAUUUGUGAGAAAUUUAAAAAGGAAACAGUUGCUGGAUUGAGUUUCGAGGUUACAACAAAAGUAGGUUACUAUAGAAGUUGUGUGUUUACCCAUUUAAGAUGAAAAAAAUACAUACAACUAUAAGAGUUAAUUAAGAACUAAUAUUUUAGCUGCUACAGUAUCAAUGCUUUCUCUUGAAUCUUUUUAACGAGGUUUUAUUACGGUUGAAUGGAUGUGGUGUGCAGGGACUCAUCUUUACCCUCAAGGGUUACUUGGGAUUUGGAAUCAAUGUAACUACAGAUUUUUGUUCUUCCAUUGGGAAUGAUUGAAGUCAUCAGAUUGAAAGCUAAGCGAUUGUGUAGAUAGCCAGACGAUCGUUGAAGGUUGAAGACUGAGAAGACGUUUAGGAUUUCUUAUUUAAGUCUUGUAUUAGGAUCUUGUUUCAUGUACUAUUGUAGAAUGUAUAUAUAAACACAAUAUAAGUUUUCAUUUUGUGUAUACAAAUUUAAAAGAUAAAUAUUAUAGUUUCUAAAAUAAUAUUAAUUUUAUUAA
Molecule: long non-coding RNA, 1130 nt
Organism: Cucumis melo (muskmelon)
Lineage: Eukaryota; Viridiplantae; Streptophyta; Magnoliopsida; Cucurbitales; Cucurbitaceae
Exons: 4
Source: RefSeq, a predicted model, not a curated record